GACGAACGCUGGCGGCGUGCCUAAUACAUGCAAGUCGAGCGAACAGAAAAGGAGCUUGCUCCUUUGACGUUAGCGGCGGACGGGUGAGUAACACGUGGGCAACCUACCCUAUAGUUUGGGAUAACUCCGGGAAACCGGGGCUAAUACCGAAUAAUCUCUUUUGCUUCAUGGUGAAAGACUGAAAGACGGUUUCGGCUGUCGCUAUAGGAUGGGCCCGCGGCGCAUUAGCUAGUUGGUGAGGUAACGGCUCACCAAGGCGACGAUGCGUAGCCGACCUGAGAGGGUGAUCGGCCACACUGGGACUGAGACACGGCCCAGACUCCUACGGGAGGCAGCAGUAGGGAAUCUUCCACAAUGGGCGAAAGCCUGAUGGAGCAACGCCGCGUGAGUGAAGAAGGUUUUCGGAUCGUAAAACUCUGUUGUAAGGGAAGAACAAGUACAGUAGUAACUGGCUGUACCUUGACGGUACCUUAUUAGAAAGCCACGGCUAACUACGUGCCAGCCGCCGCGGUAA
Molecule: ribosomal RNA, 514 nt
Filed under: uncultured bacterium
Lineage: Bacteria
Description: partial 16S ribosomal RNA
Rfam family: Bacterial small subunit ribosomal RNA
Source: RNAcentral